This is a long non-coding RNA of Perca flavescens (yellow perch), 2017 nucleotides long. RefSeq lists it as uncharacterized. The transcript has 3 exons. Lineage: Eukaryota; Metazoa; Chordata; Actinopteri; Perciformes; Percidae. The record is from RefSeq and is a predicted model, not a curated record.
AGACACUUGGGGCCUGUGUUGUAUCUAGUAUCACUAAAAAUAAAUGCCGCUGCUGGCCAUAUUCAACAGGUUGACUCUGGGGAUCGGCGGUUGGGACACAUGGAGAGUUUCUAGUAUGAGGUCCAGCUGGUUUGCUGCUGUUUGACGAAGUGGUGCUCCAUGGAGAGAACAACUUUCGCCUGCAACCUCAAGAGGAUUGCAAUCUAGGUCAAAGCCCAUUUGCAGAGGUAACACAAAACACACACACACACACACACACACACACACACACACACACACACACACACACACACACACACACCCUGGAAUCCAAUAAAGUGUACAUCACUGUAAUGUUGCAGCUGGUAAAGGUGGGGCUAAUUAAAUAUAAUAAUUUAGCUCAAUCCAUAAUAAUACCUUAUAAUGUAUUAGUAGAUUUAAAUGUUGUAACUAAGUUGUUCAGUAAUUUAGUUAAGUAACUAAAGUUAACAAAUGAGUGGGGUAAAAGGUACAAUAUAUUGCUUGCGAAAAAGAGAUAUAACAAUAAAGAAUUCAAUGGCUUGUUCUAAAAAAAAACUUAUUAAGCACUUGUUAACAUUUAAAGCUGCUGUUUUAAUGGGUUGUUAGCCAUUAACCAUUAAUAAAGCAAUUAGUUACAGCUUAUAUACUGUUUAUAAAAGGUGCCUUAUUAAAAAAUGAUAAAUAAAUGCAAGUCCAUUGUUCAUUCUGUAAUGUAAAUCAUGCAGAGUCCUGAUGCUGUUCAGGCUUUUAGCCCCUCCAUUCAUGUAAUUAACUUUCUAUCUUGCCACUCAAGCUCCAUUUGGACAAGGGAGUUGAGGAGAGGCUGCAGAAUGAAAGACUGAACUAAUAAGUAUGUGUUAGAGAAGGGCGUGACACGUCCAGAUGUUUAUUUAGUUUUUUAUUGACACGGUCACAGAUGCACGGGAAAGCCUUAAGAAAGCUGGAAGAAGUAUCAACAUUCCUCGGCACUCCCACUCUUCUUUUAGCUGUUUGAGAAUUUAACCCUGUUCAGCGUUUCAGCCCUACCAGCUUUUUGCCUAUGUCAGCUGAAUGUAUUUAGACACACACACUUCAAUAUACACACACAGACACUCACAGAUGCCUGCUUGGGUCCAAACACAAGCAGUGCAGGGUUUGCCUGGACAGUAUAGAUGCUAUAAUCACAUCUCAGGUCAACGACCUCAACAGCGGUCUAGCCUGAAAGAUGGAUUGUUUUGUGUACACAAAGAUUAGAAGAUUCUGCACAAACAGGACACUGCUCAUGUGAUCGCUACUGUAAAUGUUACCAUCCGUAUCCGUGCUUUCCUUCAUGUUGUAGAUAGUGCUUAUUUAUCCAGCCUAGCUUAAGCGUUCACCAUGCAUGUGUUAGAAGCCUUUGUGAAGCGGGGAAUUUCUUUCCUGAAACUGCCGGAGAAAAUCCAACUUGAUGUUAGUUAUGACCACAGUGGCAUCCCAGAGCACUAAAUCAUAGGAUUGCAUAGGAUCAAACACACAUGGAAAAACUCACUUGCACAGCCACAGACAGCCUGUGAAUGUAUUUUAGGCCAGAGGUAAAUGAUUUCGACCUUUUACCUCCUCUCUCUCUCUGUCUUUCUCGCUCCUUGUCCAUGCGUCUCUCUCACACCUGUUGUCAGACCCAUGCAUGCCAGAGAUUUGUUCCGUCACACACACAUGUGCCAGUUUAGACACACUAAUAGAUAAGAGAAGGGAGGCAACUGGGGGACGGUGUGUCCCUGCUUUUUCGGAACAACUGUGUGUGUGUGUGUGUGUGUGUUCAUUAUUACACAAAUUCCAAAGAUCAUCAGACUAUUUGCAGAUAGGGGUAUUUCAUCAGAGACAGACAGACGAUAAGUGGACAUUUGUGCUUAUCAAUGCAGUCUUUCCGUUAGUUUGACCUCAACCCCAACCCCCUCCAACAAAAGAAAACCUAUCCUCCCCUCAGGCUCUGUUUGUUUUUGCUCUGCCUUCUGUUCUCUUAAGCUUGGGUGUCUUUAGGUGGCGUGGUUGCUCUCACUGA